Molecule: ribosomal RNA, 429 nt
Filed under: uncultured bacterium
Lineage: Bacteria
Description: bacterial SSU rRNA
Rfam family: Bacterial small subunit ribosomal RNA
Source: RNAcentral
UGGGGGAUAUUGCGCAAUGGGCGAAAGCCUGACGCAGCGACGCCGCGUGGGUGAUGAAGGCCUUCGGGUCGUAAAGCCCUGUCGAGGGGGAAGAAUCGGUUGCGACCUAACACGUCGUGAUCCUGACGGUACCCCUAAAGGAAGCACCGGCUAACUCCGUGCCAGCAGCCGCGGUAAUACGGAGGGUGCGAGCGUUGUUCGGAAUCACUGGGCGUAAAGCGCGUGUAGGCGGCCCAUUAAGUCUGAUGUGAAAGCCCGGGGCUCACCCCCGGAAGUGCAUUGGAAACUGAUGGACUCGAGUCCCGGAGAGGAGAGUGGAAUUCCUGGUGUAGCGGUGAAAUGCGUAGAUAUCAGGAGGAACACCGGUGGCGAAGGCGGCUCUCUGGACGGUGACUGACGCUGAGACGCGAAAGCGUGGGGAGCAAACAG